GACGAACGCUGGCGGCGUGCCUAAUACAUGCAAGUAGAACGCUGAAGGAGGAGCUUGCUCUUCUGGUCGAGUUGCGAACGGGUGAGUAACGCGUAGGUAACCUGCCUGGUAGCGGGGGAUAACUAUUGGAAACGAUAGCUAAUACCGCAUAACAGUAGAUGUUGCAUGACAUUUACUUAAAAGGUGCAAUUGCAUCACUACCAGAUGGACCUGCGUUGUAUUAGCUAGUUGGUGGGGUAACGGCUCACCAAGGCGACGAUACAUAGCCGACCUGAGAGGGUGAUCGGCCACACUGGGACUGAGACACGGCCCAGACUCCUACGGGAGGCAGCAGUAGGGAAUCUUCGGCAAUGGACGGAAGUCUGACCGAGCAACGCCGCGUGAGUGAAGAAGGUUUUCGGAUCGUAAAGCUCUGUUGUAAGAGAAGAACGAGUGUGAGAGUGGAAAGUUCACACUGUGACGGUAUCUUACCAGAAAGGGACGGCUAACUACGUG
This 495-nucleotide ribosomal RNA is filed under the name uncultured bacterium. RNAcentral describes it as "partial 16S ribosomal RNA". It matches the Rfam family "Bacterial small subunit ribosomal RNA", at positions 28 to 507 of the family's 1533-position model. The record is from RNAcentral.